ACUGCUCAGUAACACGUGGAUAACCUGCCCUUGGGUCCGGCAUAACCCCGGGAAACUGGGGAUAAUUCCGGAUAACGCACAUAUGCUGGAAUGCUUUAUGCGUAAAAUGGAUUCGUCUGCCCAAGGAUGGGUCUGCGGCCUAUCAGGUAGUAGUGGGUGUAAUGUACCUACUAGCCAACAACGGGUACGGGUUGUGAGAGCAAGAGCCCGGAGAUGGAUUCUGAGACAUGAAUCCAGGCCCUACGGGGCGCAGCAGGCGCGAAAACUUUACAAUGCGGGAAACCGUGAUAAGGGGACACCGAGUGCCAGCAUCAUAUGCUGGCUGUCCAGGUGUGUAAAAUACACCUGUUAGCAAGGGCCGGGCAAGACCGGUGCCAGCCGCCGCGGUAACACCGGCGGCCCGAGUGGUGAUCGUGAUUAUUGGGUCUAAAGGGUCCGUAGCCGGUUUGGUCAGUCCUCCGGGAAAUCUGAUAGCUCAACUAUUAGGCUUUCGGGGGAUACUGCCAGGCUUGGAACCGGGAGAGGUAAGAGGUACUACAGGGGUAGGAGUGAAAUCUUGUAAUCCCUGUGGGACCACCUGUGGCGAAGGCGUCUUACCAGAACGGGUUCGACGGUGAGGGACGAAAGCUGGGGGCACGAACCGGAUUAGAUACCCGGGUAGUCCCAGCCGUAAACGAUGCUCGCUAGGUGUCAGGCAUGGCGCGACCGUGUCUGGUGCCGCAGGGAAGCCGUGAAGCGAGCCACCUGGGAAGUACGGCCGCAAGGCUGAAACUUAAAGGAAUUGGCGGGGGAGCAC
This 796-nucleotide ribosomal RNA is filed under the name uncultured archaeon. RNAcentral's name for it is "bacterial SSU rRNA". It matches the Rfam family "Archaeal small subunit ribosomal RNA", at positions 85 to 879 of the family's 1478-position model. The record is from RNAcentral.